This 177-nucleotide non-coding RNA is filed under the name human gut metagenome. RNAcentral describes it as "Lysine riboswitch". It matches the Rfam family "Lysine riboswitch aptamer". Rfam says of the family: Riboswitches are metabolite binding domains within certain messenger RNAs that serve as precision sensors for their corresponding targets. Allosteric rearrangement of mRNA structure is mediated by ligand binding, and this results in modulation of gene expression. The record is from RNAcentral.
ACGAUGGAGGUGCGUUUUUCAUCAGUAGCGGCAGUCGUCCGGCCCGACAGAAUGCGGACGCCGCGAAAGGGAAAAGCGCCGAAAACCCCGCGUCCGUUCGGGCGGGCGGCGGUGUUUGGGCCGUAUGCGGAAUACGCUGCGGACUGUCAUCAUGGAUUGUGAUGGAGUGCUGUCUGU